GCCGGCAGCUAGCUCUCUGCAACUCUCACAUGCUGAGCAGGGCUGCGCUUGGUUAGUACCUGGAUGGGAGACUACAUGGGAAAGCUAGGUUACUGCCGGAA
RNAcentral lists this ribosomal RNA (101 nucleotides) under Danio rerio (zebrafish). The record is from RNAcentral. Lineage: Eukaryota; Metazoa; Chordata; Actinopteri; Cypriniformes; Danionidae.